Molecule: unclassified non-coding RNA, 215 nt
Filed under: Hevea brasiliensis (rubber tree)
Lineage: Eukaryota; Viridiplantae; Streptophyta; Magnoliopsida; Malpighiales; Euphorbiaceae
Source: RNAcentral
GGCGGAUCCGUGAGUGGGAAGGUCUCGACUCGAUCGAUCAAUCAUGGGGCAUAUUGGUUGGGUGGAAUCCCUCCGUCUUUUCUCUCAUCGAGAGGGUAGUGGGCUGGUGGGCUAUCCACGUCAUACUUCAUGAUUCCAGGGGAACCGAUCCUCUUCUCUAGAAUCUACUCUCCCUGCGACCUUCCUUCCAAACGCCUAUUCUGGGCCGAUUUUUC